UAGUCGCUAGUGUUCCGAGUUUUUAAUUCUUCGGUUUUCGGUGUUUUCACAAAUCACUAAUUACUUCAAUUUUAAUAUUUUUAAAUUUAAACACAAUAUUUAAAAUUUAAAAACCAUAACUAUGUAAAAUGUAAAUACAAAAUCAUUAUCAAGUCCUGUAGGCUGUAAUUUAUCAAUUGUUUUUACCUCUUAAUACUUUAUUUUAAAAAAUGAGUUGCCUCCUUAGUAAAUUGUGCAGUAUUAAGUCAGCUGUUCAGCUGCGGAAAUUAUCUGUGCCUGCUAAUACUCUUCUUGCGAGAAGAUCAUUCAAUCGGCCAAAUCAUAAUUUAAAGAGAUUUCAAAGUCAAUCAAAUUCUCUUUUAGGACCUUCUUUAUUUUGUAUAUCUGUUUGCACUGGUACAGUUGUGUUAGCAUCUAUUAUUCAAUAUGAGCGACUUCGUGUUAAGCAAAUCAAUACCUUUGAAUUUUAUAGAUAUGCUAUCAAAAAAAAAAAUGAGAGUUUUAUUUCAAAGUUAAAAAAUAAUUUCAACAAACUAGAAUCAUCAGAAAAAGUAUUUGGUACCAUACUUUUAUUAAAUGGCAUUGUUUUUCUCGCAUGGCAAAUACCUCGGUGGCAGCAUAUCAUGAUCAAAUAUUUUAUGACUGAUGCACUUGCUAGAAAAAUUCCAGUGUCGUCACUUCUUCUAAGUGCAUUCAGUCACAGUUCUCCAGUACAUUUCUGUUUCAAUAUGUAUGCUCUUCAUACAUUUUGUCGAGGUGUGAUCCAACCAUGGGGUGAUAUGGGACCUGAAGAAUUCACCGCAAUGUAUAUAAGUGGUUGUGUUGUUUCAUCAUUAGCUAGUAUUAUGUUUAGACGAAGCUUUAAAUUUCCAGGAAAUAGUUUAGGUGCUUCUGGUGCUAUAUUAUCAGUUGUUGGAUACUUUUCAUUAUCGCAUCCUGAUCAAAAAUUGGGUAUAAUAUUUUUACCUAAUAUUCAAUUUGAUGCAAUUCAUGCAUUAACUGGCAUAAUAUCAUUAGACAUAAUGGGAUUAAUUUUGAGGUGGCAAAUGUUUGACCAUGCAGCUCAUUUAGGAGGAACAUUAUUUGGAAUAUUUUGGUACAAAUAUAUGUCAACAUAUGUAUGGGAUAAUCGAAAAUAUAUUGUAAAAAACUGGAUAACCUUAAAAAAAAUUAUUCAACAAGUCAAAGAUAAAUGAAAUAGUAAUAAUGGAGUGGCAGACGUUUACCCUUUAUACUAUUCAAAAAUUUAUCCAUUCUGAAUAGUGAAUGAAAUGUUGGUGAUCAAGAAUGUACGGUUUUCAGAGGUUUCACUAUACAGACUCGAUAAUUUGGCAGAUAUUAGACCAGAGUUAAAACUGCUAGAUUAACGAAAACGACGGAUUAAUGGAAGUUUACAUAAAACACAUUUUUACUUAGAGGUCCAGUUGUCGCACACACACGCAGAAUCCGGUGUUAAGAGAUGCUGCUAACGUGAAUACGUGAUUGAAACGUAUGCACUGGUGAAAAAGAUGACAUAGUCAUGUCGACCAGAGUGGCUGAUGGUCGCAAGCUUCUGCGUUUACAAGAAACC
Molecule: unclassified non-coding RNA, 1570 nt
Filed under: Rhopalosiphum maidis (corn leaf aphid)
Lineage: Eukaryota; Metazoa; Arthropoda; Insecta; Hemiptera; Aphididae
Description: presenilins-associated rhomboid-like protein, mitochondrial, transcript variant X2
Source: RNAcentral